UACGGAGGGUGCGAGCGUUGAUCGGAAUAACUGGGCGGAAAGGGCACGCAGGCGGGCUUAUAAGUGAGAUGUGAAAUCCCCGGGCUUAACCUGGGAAUAGCAUUUAAGACUGGGAGUCUAGAGUACUUGAGGGAGGGGUAGAAUUCCACGUGUAGCGGUGAAAUGCGUAGAGAUGUGGAGGAAUACCGAAGGCGAAGGCAGCCCCUUGGGCAUGUACUGACGCUCAUGUGCGAAAGCGUGGGGAGCAAACAGG
Molecule: ribosomal RNA, 253 nt
Filed under: uncultured bacterium
Lineage: Bacteria
Description: partial 16S ribosomal RNA
Rfam family: Bacterial small subunit ribosomal RNA
Source: RNAcentral